RNAcentral lists this long non-coding RNA (1131 nucleotides) under Sus scrofa (pig). RNAcentral's name for it is "lncRNA (ENSSSCG00045005873.1)". The record is from RNAcentral. Lineage: Eukaryota; Metazoa; Chordata; Mammalia; Artiodactyla; Suidae.
ACUGAAUUUAACUUUCCAGUGCCUGACCUAAAUCCAAAAUCUGCAUUUCAUUUGGUUGCUAAAUGCUGUACUGGUUGUACAGCUCCUCUUUCCCAUUCUUUCCCCAAGAAAUCCAUUAGAACAUUGACAAAUGCUGAGCCAUUUGCUUGUUUCUUCUUUCAUUCAUUCAAAUGUAUUUAUUGAGUAUCUCUUCUGUCUGAGCUCUAGGAUUACAAAGAUGAGUAAGUAAUACAGGGUUCCUGACUUUGAGACAUGAAACAUCUAGUGAGGAAAACAGACAAGGAAACCAGCAAUGACAGAAUGAUUUGAUGGUGCUAGUUAACAGAAGUAUGUACAAAGGUGAAGGAGUCAGCUGCCUUGGGAUGAGAAGGGGAAAGUGGGACAUUUUGGUUUUGUCUUAGAUCACCUCUGGGGAGUUUACGGGGAACCUAGAGAGAAAAAUACGUGCUCAGAAAUCAUAGUUAUUUAGCCUCUCAGAGUCCUGUUUCUUUGGAGGUAAACAACAAAUGUUUAAUGUAGAAAUUGAUAAACAUUGAGUGGCAGGUUUUUUUUCCCCAGUGGAACGAGGUUCCUGGAGCAAAAGAAAGAAUUGUUCUUAUCUAGAGAAACAUCACAAAAUCAAGUAGGCUAAAGACAGUUUCAUAUUCAGUUUCCAUAUUCAUGAAUUUGGAUUCUUGUUUUCUGUGUUAAGUUUGUUUAUGAAGUUCUAAUUUAAAAUUACUUCAAGACACAAAUAUUCCUCUGGUUGUGCAUAUAUUAUUGAACUGGGACAGCAUGACUAGCAUAAUCUUGGUUUGACCAUAUCUUUAUUUGAUUUUUUUCUCCUUCUUCCAGAAUUAUACACUGAUUGUGAGCAGCCAGACCAAAACCUCUGAUGUGGCCAAGAACAAGGACUGGAAUAAAAUAUUGCUGGGAAUUUUUCAGUCAACUCAAUUCAGUGGAUAUUUAUUGAGCUCAUAUAACUCAUCAUGUUCAAGAAUGAAGAGAUCAAGAAUCCUCAACCACCAUCCUUCUGGAGAGCAAAUCUGUACAUUCUCAUAUUCAGGUAGUUUCCAAAUUGUUACAAAAGAGACACUUCACUAAUAACACUCGAGACACUACCUAGGCAAUGUGACUCUGAAAUUAUUAUUU